Molecule: ribosomal RNA, 253 nt
Filed under: uncultured bacterium
Lineage: Bacteria
Description: partial 16S ribosomal RNA
Rfam family: Bacterial small subunit ribosomal RNA
Source: RNAcentral
UACGUAGGGUGCGAGCGUUAAUCGGAAUUACUGGGCGUAAAGUGUGCGCAGGUGGCCGCGCAAGUCGAGUGUGAAAUCCCCGAGCUUAACUUGGGAAUUGCGCUCGAAACUACGUGGCUCGAGUGUGGCAGAGGAAGGUGGAAUUCCACGUGUAGCGGUGAAAUGCUUAGAGAUGUGGAGGAACACCGAUGGCGAAGGCAGCCUUCUGGGCCAACACUGACGCUCAUGCACGAAAGCGUGGGGAGCAAACAGG